UCCUUGGUAGCUCAGCUGGUAAAGAAUCUACCUGCAAUGCAGGAGACCCUGGUUUGAUUCCUGGUCAAGAAG
Molecule: transfer RNA, 72 nt
Filed under: Bos taurus (domestic cattle)
Lineage: Eukaryota; Metazoa; Chordata; Mammalia; Artiodactyla; Bovidae
Also listed under: 5 other names
Rfam family: tRNA
About the family: Transfer RNA (tRNA) molecules are approximately 80 nucleotides in length. Their secondary structure includes four short double-helical elements and three loops (D, anti-codon, and T loops). Further hydrogen bonds mediate the characteristic L-shaped molecular structure. tRNAs have two regions of fundamental functional importance: the anti-codon, which is responsible for specific mRNA codon recognition, and the 3' end, to which the tRNAs corresponding amino acid is attached (by aminoacyl-tRNA synthetases). tRNAs cope with the degeneracy of the genetic code in two manners: having more than one tRNA (with a specific anti-codon) for a particular amino acid; and 'wobble' base-pairing, i.e. permitting non-standard base-pairing at the 3rd anti-codon position.
Source: Rfam by way of RNAcentral